Molecule: small nucleolar RNA, 130 nt
Organism: Choloepus didactylus (southern two-toed sloth)
Lineage: Eukaryota; Metazoa; Chordata; Mammalia; Pilosa; Megalonychidae
Product: small nucleolar RNA SNORA44
Exons: 1
Source: RefSeq, a predicted model, not a curated record
CGGCAUGUUCCCAAGGUCUUUGGCUAGUUGUGGCCAAGGGAUCUCCAACUGCAUGCAAGAGCAACCUGGAGAGACUUUGACAGCCCAGGUGAACAUAUACCUGCAGCUGCCACUCGACUUUCCUAUAAUG